AAUGAGAUGAAAAAAUAAAAAACAAAGAGUUCUCUGGAAAAAAAAGGGAAACACAAGAAAAUGUAGAGAAAACUUAGAGGAAGAAAAAAAGAAAAGAAAAUACUGGAAUAGUAUAUAUAUAUAUACUAUGGUGCUUGUAAAAGCACCCAGCACUUGGUGCUUGUGAAUUUUUUACCGUUAGAUUUACGACUUUGAUCAUUUUCAUCCGUUAGAUUAUACUAUUCAACCAACCACCCACUUAACCUAAGGGGGCCCACAACAUCCUAACUGCACAUCUAUUAAUCUAAGGGCUAAAAACUUACAAACACCAAUGAAUUGGUACUUUUAAAAGCAUAGGAGCUGGACUCUAUAUAUAUAUAUAUAUAUGGUGCUUGUAAAAGCACAAGUAUUUGUUGCUUGUAAUAUAUAUAUAUAUAUAUAUGGAGAGAGAGUUUAGCUAUGGUGCUUUUACAAGCACUUGAUGCUUGUAAGUUUUUUACCGUUAGAUUUACUCCACGAAUCAUUUUCAACAAUUAGAUUAUAUUAUUUAACCAACCACCCACUCAACCUCAGGGGCCCACAUCAUCCUAACCGCAUAUCUCUUAAUCUAAUGGCUAAAAAUCUACAAGUACAAAUGUCUUGGUACUUUUAAAAACAUAGGAGUUCAAUUCUAUAUAUAUAUAUGUUUGUACAAUAUACGUUAUUAGCAUAAUAUAUGCUAAUAUAAUAUAUGCAACAAAAGUAUAAAUCUAUACAGAAAAUUUAAAAUCAUAAUUUGGUCCUGAAAUGCAAUAAUAAAAUUAUUAUUAGAUCUAUAAAAAUAAAAAAAAGAAAAAAAUAUUAAUUA
RNAcentral lists this long non-coding RNA (826 nucleotides) under Ananas comosus (pineapple). Its description in RNAcentral is "long non-coding RNA (ACOM_LNC028593)". The record is from RNAcentral. Lineage: Eukaryota; Viridiplantae; Streptophyta; Magnoliopsida; Poales; Bromeliaceae.